AGUGAACGCUGGCGGCAGGCCUAACACAUGCCAGUCGAGCGGCAGCGGGUCCUUCGGGCUGCCGGCGAGCGGCGGACGGGUGAGGAAUGCGUCGGAAUCUGCCUUUUUGUGGGGGAUAACGUAGGGAAACUUACGCUAAUACCGCAUACGACCUACGGGUGAAAGUGGGGGACCGCAAGGCCUCACGCAGAAAGAUGAGCCGACGUCGGAUUAGCUAGUUGGCGGGGUAAAGGCCCACCAAGGCGACGAUCCGUAGCUGGUCUGAGAGGAUGAUCAGCCACACUGGAACUGAGACACGGUCCAGACUCCUACGGGAGGCAGCAGUGGGGAAUAUUGGACAAUGAGCGCAAGCCUGAUCCAGCCAUGCCGCGUGUGUGAAGAAGGCCUUCGGGUUGUAAAGCACUUUUGUCCGGAAAGAAAUCCUGUCGGCUAAUACCCGGCGGGGAUGACGGUACCGGAAGAAUAAGCACCGGCUAACUUCGUG
RNAcentral lists this ribosomal RNA (484 nucleotides) under uncultured bacterium. Its description in RNAcentral is "partial 16S ribosomal RNA". It matches the Rfam family "Bacterial small subunit ribosomal RNA", at positions 29 to 507 of the family's 1533-position model. The record is from RNAcentral.